This 73-nucleotide ribosomal RNA is filed under the name Rhodococcus sp. 05-339-2. RNAcentral's name for it is "partial 16S ribosomal RNA". It matches the Rfam family "Bacterial small subunit ribosomal RNA", at positions 1 to 72 of the family's 1533-position model. The record is from RNAcentral. Lineage: Bacteria; Bacillati; Actinomycetota; Actinomycetes; Mycobacteriales; Nocardiaceae. RNAcentral also lists the same sequence under 4 other names.
UUUUACGGAGAGUUUGAUCCUGGCUCAGGACGAACGCUGGCGGCGUGCUUAACACAUGCAAGUCGAGCGGUAA